This 447-nucleotide ribosomal RNA is filed under the name uncultured bacterium. Its description in RNAcentral is "bacterial SSU rRNA". It matches the Rfam family "Bacterial small subunit ribosomal RNA", at positions 330 to 794 of the family's 1533-position model. The record is from RNAcentral.
ACCAGACUCCUACGGGAGGCAGCAGUGGGGGAUAUUGCACAAUGGGGGGAACCCUGAUGCAGCGACGCCGCGUGGGUGAAGAAGCGCCUCGGCGCGUAAAGCCCUUUCAGCAGGGAAGAAAAUGACGGUACCUGAAGAAGAAGCCCCGGCUAACUACGUGCCAGCAGCCGCGGUAAUACGUAGGGGGCAAGCGUUAUCCGGAUUUACUGGGUGUAAAGGGGGCGCAGACGGCGAUGCAAGCCAGGAGUGAAAGCCCGGGGCCCAACCCCGGGACUGCUCUUGGAACUGCGUGGCUGGAGUGCAGGAGGGGCAGGCGGAAUUCCUGGUGUAGCGGUGAAAUGCGUAGAUAUCAGGAGGAACACCGGUGGCGAAGGCGGCCUGCUGGACUGCAACUGACGUUGAGGCCCGAAAGCGUGGGGAGCGAACGGGAUUAGAUACCCGAGUAUA